Molecule: non-coding RNA, 23 nt
Filed under: Cricetulus griseus (Chinese hamster)
Lineage: Eukaryota; Metazoa; Chordata; Mammalia; Rodentia; Cricetidae
Source: RNAcentral
UUGUUUGUGGAAUUUGAAAUUAC